AGGUCAGGCGGGACUACCCGCUGAGUUUAAGCAUAUCAAUAAGCCGGAAGGAA
This 53-nucleotide ribosomal RNA is filed under the name Centrosema virginianum. Its description in RNAcentral is "partial 28S ribosomal RNA". Lineage: Eukaryota; Viridiplantae; Streptophyta; Magnoliopsida; Fabales; Fabaceae. The record is from RNAcentral.